Amphiprion ocellaris (clown anemonefish) is the source of this 1412-nucleotide long non-coding RNA. NCBI's taxonomy places the organism in Eukaryota, Metazoa, Chordata, Actinopteri, Pomacentridae. The record is from Ensembl.
UGAUGGAUGAUGAUGGAUGGAUGAUGAUGAUGUGGAUGGAUGGAUGGAUGGAUGGAUGGAUGAUGAUGGUGGAUGGAUGAGGAUGGAUGGAUGGAUGAUGAUGGAUGAUGAUGGAUGGAGAAUGGAUGGAUGGAUGAUGAUGGGUGAUGAUGAUGGAAGGAUGAUGAUGGAUGGAUGAUGAUGCAUGGAUGGAGGAUGGAUGAUGAUGAUGAUGGAAGGAUGAUGAUGGAUGAUGAUGGAAGGAUGAUGAUGGAUGGAUGAUGAUGAUGAUGGAUGAUGGAUGGAUGAUGAUGGAAGGAUGAUGAUGGAUGGAUGAUGAUGGAUGAUGAUGGAAGGAUGAUGAUGGAUGGAUGAUGAUGAUGAUGGAUGAUGGAUGGAUGAUGAUGGAAGGAUGAUGAUGGAUGGAUGAUGAUGAUGGAUGGAUGGAUGAUGAUGGAAGGAUGAUGAUGGAUGGAUGGAGGAUGGAUGAUGAUGGAUGAUGAUGAUGGAUGAUGGAUGGAUGAUGAUGGAAGGAUGAUGAUGGAUGAAUGAUGAUGGAUGGAUGGACGGAGGAUGGAUGAUGAUGAUGGAAGAAUGAUAUAAGGUUUCAUUUUGUUCUUCUAUAUUUCCUGUUGGUUGGUGUGUGAGAACAUGGAGUUAUUUUAGAACGUGCAGAUGUUUUAGAACAUGCAGAUGUUUUCGCUGCUGUUUCUUCAGGAACGUGACCUUCCGCUCCUCUGAUGGUGAACACUGGCACUCACUUUGACUUCGGUCUGCAGAGCUUCAUGAUGGUUUUACAGGCUGAAGAUCAGUUUGUUGAUAAUGACCUGAUUGGUUUUUCAUUGAUUGGAACCCUCUCCUGAGCUUUCAGCUGGACGUCAUGGUUGCCAUGAAGACGGUUCAGUCAGCAUCAUGUGACCUGCGGCUGAAAGCUCCGGGAGCUUCUCAGUGGACAAGAAGAGAUGGGGUUACUGAUGAGUGCUCCUCAGCCUCCGACUCAGCUUCAUCACGGCUGAUCUUUAUUUUUAUUGAUUAAUUUAUGAUUGAGCUCUUUGUUUCAUUUCCUUGUGGAUCAUUAAAGAGGAAAUUUUCAGGUUAAUAAUGUCUGUUUCUAUUUUCAUUCUGACUGAUCACUGAUCAAUAGAGGAACAGCUGAGACAGAAAACCUUUCAGCUCCUCAGGAACGUGUUCUCCAUGUUUCAGAUGUAAAUAUUUUCCAUAUUUAUACGUUCAUGAGUUCAUCUUUUUAUGGUCGCAGCAGAAUUUAAGCGUCUCCUAAUGCUUCUGUGAACAGACUGCACCUGAACGCACCACGACCUCAUGCACCUUUACCUGUCAGUAAACUGAAAGACACUUCAAACUUUUUAUGGUUCUGAUCCAGAACCUUGGUGGUCCUGGGGAUCAUAGGAGCUCCUACAAUUAAAAGGUGGUGU